Molecule: ribosomal RNA, 429 nt
Filed under: Gemmatimonadota bacterium
Lineage: Bacteria; Pseudomonadati; Gemmatimonadota
Description: Gemmatimonadetes bacterium partial 16S ribosomal RNA
Rfam family: Bacterial small subunit ribosomal RNA
Source: RNAcentral
UAGGGAAUCUUCGGCAAUGGACGAAAGUCUGACCGAGCAACGCCGCGUGAGUGAAGAAGGUUUUCGGAUCGUAAAACUCUGUUGUUAGAGAAGAACAAGGACGUUAGUAACUGAACGUCCCCUGACGGUAUCUAACCAGAAAGCCACGUCUAACUACGUGCCAGCAGCCGCGGUAAUACGUAGGUGGCAAGCGUUGUCCGGAUUUAUUGGGCGUAAAGCGAGCGCAGGCGGUUUCUUAAGUCUGAUGUGAAAGCCCCCGGCUCAACCGGGGAGGGUCAUUUGAAACUGGGAAGCUUGAGUGCAGGAGAGGAGAGUGGAAUUCCAUGUGUAGCGGUGAAAUGCGUAGAUAUAUGGAGGAACACCAGUGGCGAAGGCGACUCUCUGGUCUGUAACUGACGCUGAGGCUCGAAAGCGUGGGGAGCAAACAGG